AUGGCAACACGGCCGGGCCCUUUGACCGAAUGGCCAUGGCACUGGAUGGGCAGCUUCAAGUACCUGGUCUUCGCACCUGUGGCGUUGCAAACUGCAUACAGGGUGGUCACCAAGGGGUGGGGGGACAUGAACCUAGCCUACGCCGCCAUCUUGCCAGCUCUGCUUCUGAGGAUGCUCCACAAUCAGAUCUGGAUUAGCUUGUCUCGCCACCAGACCGCACGCAGGAAGCACAUCAUCGUUGACCGCAGUCUUGAAUUCGAGCAGGUGGACCGGGAGAGAUCCUGGGAUGACCAGAUCAUCCUCUCUGGGCUGUAUUUCUACUUGGCCUAUGCAGCCAUCCCGAGUGUCAGACUCAUGCCAAUGUGGGAAACAAAGGGAGCCAUCAUCAUGGCGUUGCUUCACGCAGGACCUGUUGAGUUUCUCUACUACUGGUUCCACAGGGCACUGCACCACCAUUUCCUCUACUCUCGCUACCACUCACACCACCAUGCCUCCAUCGUCACAGAGCCUAUAACAUCUGUCAUCCAUCCAUUUGCUGAAAUGUUAGUUUACUUCCUGUUAUUUUUGAUCCCCAUGCUGAUACCAAUUCUUAUGGGAUAUGGUUCUAUCCUGGGUAUCGUCUUAUACGUGGCUUACAUCGACUUCAUGAAUAAUAUGGGACACUGCAAUUUUGAGCUGCUGCCAAAGUGGAUCUUCCAAGUUUUCCCUCCUCUCAAGUAUCUCAUGUACACUCCAUCGUAUCAUUCUCUCCAUCACACACAGUUUCGUACAAACUACUCAUUGUUUAUGCCGUUCUAUGACUACAUAUACAAUACCAUGGACAAGUCAACUGACGAGCUGUAUGAGAGAACACUGAUUGGAACAGAGGAAACACCAGAUGUUGUUCACUUGACGCAUAUGACCACCUUGCAAUCAACUUAUCAUCUAAGGGUUGGGAUUGCCUCUAUAGCCUCUAGACCCUCAGAUAACCCAGUAUGGUAUGUGUGGAUGAUAUGGCCAAUGGCAUGGCUGUCAAUGGUACUGGCAUGGAUUUAUGGAUCCUCUGCGUUUGUCGUCGAAAGUCUCAAACUGAAGAAGUUCAAGAUGCAAACAUGGGUGAUACCAAGAUACAACUUCCAAUAUGGCCUGAUUAGGGAGAGGGAAUCCAUCAACAGGUUAAUUGAGAAGGCAAUAUUAGAUGCGGAUGUAAGAGGGGUCAAAGUGCUCAGUCUUGGACUCUUAAAUCAGGCAAAACAACUCAAUGGAAAUGGUGAAUUAUUUACACAUAAAUAUCCAAAAUUAGGAGUUCGACUUGUUGAUGGAAGUGGCUUAGCAACAGCAGUUGUUCUCAAGAGCAUUCCUUCAGAUACAAAGCAUGUUUUUCUCUGUGGAGGCAGUUCUAAGGUAGAACGUGCAAUAGCUACAGCUUUAUGCGAAAGAGGUGUCCAGGUAAUCAUGAAUCAAAAGGAGUAUGACAUGCUCAAGUUGCGAGUUUCAGAGAGCAGUAUUGCCUAUCUGAAAUUCUCCAGUGAUGAAACACCACAGAUCUGGAUAGGAGAUAUCAUAGAUGAUAAGCAACAAAUGGGGGCACCAAAAGGAGCAACAUUUAUUCCUACAUCACAGUUUCCCCUUAAAAGGAUGCGCAAGGAUUGCACUUAUUUGAGCAGCCCUGCAAUGAAGAUCCCAGAGGCAAUGCAGAACGUCCACACCUGUGAGAAUUGGCUUCCAAGAAGGGUGAUGAGCGCAUGGCGCAUUGCUGGAAUGGUACACGCACUAGAAGGUUGGGACAUGCACGAGUGCGGAGAUGAUAUGAUGGACCUCGAGAAGGUCUGGUCGGCAGCUAUUAAGCACGGAUUCACUCCUCUGUCAAAAGCUUGA
RNAcentral lists this ribosomal RNA (1857 nucleotides) under Triticum aestivum (bread wheat). Its description in RNAcentral is "partial small subunit ribosomal RNA". Lineage: Eukaryota; Viridiplantae; Streptophyta; Magnoliopsida; Poales; Poaceae. The record is from RNAcentral.